This 411-nucleotide ribosomal RNA is filed under the name Actinomycetes bacterium. Its description in RNAcentral is "Actinobacteria bacterium partial 16S ribosomal RNA". It matches the Rfam family "Bacterial small subunit ribosomal RNA", at positions 355 to 776 of the family's 1533-position model. Lineage: Bacteria; Bacillati; Actinomycetota; Actinomycetes. The record is from RNAcentral.
AGGGGAAUAUUGCACAAUGGGCGCAAGCCUGAUGCAGCGACGCCGCGCGGGGGAUGACGGCCUUCGGGUUGUAAACUCCUUUCGCUAGGGACGAAGCUUUUUGUGACGGUACCUAGAUAAGAAGCACCGGCUAACUACGUGCCAGCAGCCGCGGUAAUACGUAGGGUGCGAGCGUUGUCCGGAAUUACUGGGCGUAAAGGGCUCGUAGGUGGUUUGUCGCGUCGUCUGUGAAAUUCCGGGGCUUAACUCCGGGCGUACAGGCGAUACGGGCAUAACUUGGGUACUGUAGGGGUAACUGGACUUCCUGAUGUAGCUGUGACAUGCGCAAAUAUCAGAAGGAACUCCGAUGGCGAAGGCAGGUUACUGGACAGUUACUGACGCUGAGGAGCGAAAGCAUGAGUAGCGAACAGG